RNAcentral lists this unclassified non-coding RNA (213 nucleotides) under plant metagenome. RNAcentral's name for it is "partial contains small subunit ribosomal RNA, internal transcribed spacer 1, and 5.8S ribosomal RNA". The record is from RNAcentral.
UUUCCGUAGGUGAACCUGCGGAAGGAUCAUUCAUAAUAAGUGUUUUAUGGCACUUUUUUAAAUCCAUAUCCACCUUGUGUGCAAUGUCAGGGCUGAUUUUUCUCUCGAGAGGAUCAACCCCAAACAUCAACCAUAUCUCAACUCUUUGUCUGAAAAAUAUUAUGAAUAAAACAAUUCAAAAUACAACUUUCAACAACGGAUCUCUUGGCUCUC